AGACGGAGGGGGCUAGCGUUGUUCGGAAUUACUGGGCGUAAAGCGCGCGUAGGCGGUCCGUUUAGUUAGGCGUGAAAGCCCUGGGCUCAACCCGGGAACUGCGUUUAAAACUGGCGGACUAGAGUCCGGGAGAGGGUGGCGGAAUUCCCAGUGUAGAGGUGAAAUUCGUAGAUAUUGGGAAGAACACCAGUGGCGAAGGCGGCCACCUGGCCCGGUACUGACGCUGAGGUGCGAAAGCGUGGGGAGCAAACAGGAUUAGAUACCCCAGUAGUCC
Molecule: ribosomal RNA, 274 nt
Filed under: uncultured bacterium
Lineage: Bacteria
Description: partial 16S ribosomal RNA
Rfam family: Bacterial small subunit ribosomal RNA
Source: RNAcentral